UUUAAAAAAAAAGCAGAAGCACAAAGCAUUCUCGGAUUUUUUGUCAAGUAAACUUUAGCUAUUCAGCUUCCCAUUGCACAUAGUGGCGAAAAAAGUAUUGCCGUAUAUCAUUUUUUAUUACCAUUUCCGUAAGGGUGGGGUUUGGUGUCCGACCCUGACUUUGGACCUAAUUUGAAAAAUAACUAAACCGAAGCGCACAAUGAAUUUAUUGUCAAGUAAACUUUAGCUAUCCAGCUUCCCAUUGCAC
Molecule: long non-coding RNA, 247 nt
Filed under: Mytilus galloprovincialis (Mediterranean mussel)
Lineage: Eukaryota; Metazoa; Mollusca; Bivalvia; Mytilida; Mytilidae
Source: RNAcentral